RNAcentral lists this ribosomal RNA (253 nucleotides) under uncultured bacterium. RNAcentral describes it as "partial 16S ribosomal RNA". It matches the Rfam family "Bacterial small subunit ribosomal RNA", at positions 524 to 776 of the family's 1533-position model. The record is from RNAcentral.
CACGUAGGGGGCGAGCGUUGUCCGGAUUCAUCGGGCGUAAAGGGCGCGCAGGCGGCCCGGAAAGUCGGAUGUGAAAACUCGAGGCUCAACCUCGAGCGUGCACCCGAUACUGCCGGGCUUGAGGCAGGUAGGGGAGAUCGGAAUUCCUGGUGUAGCGGUGAAAUGCGCAGAUAUCAGGAGGAACACCGGUGGCGAAGGCGGAUCUCUGGGCCUGUCCUGACGCUGAGGCGCGAAAGCUAGGGGAGCGAACAGG